This 268-nucleotide ribosomal RNA is filed under the name uncultured bacterium. Its description in RNAcentral is "partial 16S ribosomal RNA". It matches the Rfam family "Bacterial small subunit ribosomal RNA", at positions 57 to 305 of the family's 1533-position model. The record is from RNAcentral.
GCAAGUCGAACGAGAACGGGAUUGCUUGCAAUCCUCAGUAAAGUGGCGCACGGGUGAGUAACACGUGGAUAACCUACCUAAGGUUCUGGAACAACAUUGCGAAAGCGAUGCUAAUACCGGAUGAAGUAUAUUAGUCUUCGGAAUUUUAUACGAAAGGGUGCCUCUAUUUAUAAGCAUCUGACAUUAGAUGGGUCCGCGGAUCAUUAGCUUGUUGGUGGGGUAAUGGCCUACCAAGGCUAUGAUGGAUAGCCGGUCUGAGAGGAUGGUC